AUGUGACCCCAGGAUGGGCGAGGCCACCCGCUGAGUUUAAGCAUAUCAAUAAGCGGAGGAAAAAAAAACUAAACA
Molecule: ribosomal RNA, 75 nt
Filed under: Dendrobium huoshanense
Lineage: Eukaryota; Viridiplantae; Streptophyta; Magnoliopsida; Asparagales; Orchidaceae
Description: partial 26S ribosomal RNA
Rfam family: Eukaryotic large subunit ribosomal RNA
Source: RNAcentral